This 492-nucleotide ribosomal RNA is filed under the name uncultured bacterium. RNAcentral describes it as "partial 16S ribosomal RNA". It matches the Rfam family "Bacterial small subunit ribosomal RNA", at positions 29 to 507 of the family's 1533-position model. The record is from RNAcentral.
AGUGAACGCUGGCGGUAGACCUAACACAUGCGAGUCGAACGGCAGCACAGUAAGAGCUUGCUCUUACGGGUGGCGAGUGGCAGACGGGUGAGGAAUACAUCGGAAUCUACUUUUUCGUGGGGGAUAACGUAGGGAAACUUACGCUAAUACCGCAUACGACCUACGGGUGAAAGCAGGGGAUCUUCGGACCUUGCGCGAUUGAAUGAGCCGAUGUCGGAUUAGCUAGUUGGCGGGGUAAAGGCCCACCAAGGCGACGAUCCGUAGCUGGUCUGAGAGGAUGAUCAGCCACACUGGAACUGAGACACGGUCCAGACUCCUACGGGAGGCAGCAGUGGGGAAUAUUGGACAAUGGGCGCAAGCCUGAUCCAGCCAUACCGCGUGGGUGAAGAAGGCCUUCGGGUUGUAAAGCCCUUUUGUUGGGAAAGAAAAGCAGCAGGUUAAUACCCCGCUGUUCUGACGGUACCCAAAGAAUAAGCACCGGCUAACUUCGUG